This 448-nucleotide ribosomal RNA is filed under the name uncultured bacterium. RNAcentral's name for it is "bacterial SSU rRNA". It matches the Rfam family "Bacterial small subunit ribosomal RNA", at positions 329 to 794 of the family's 1533-position model. The record is from RNAcentral.
CGCCAGACUCCUACGGGAGGCAGCAGUGGGGGAUAUUGCACAAUGGGGGGAACCCUGAUGCAGCGACGCCGCGUGGGUGAAGAAGCGCCUCGGCGCGUAAAGCCCUGUCAGCAGGGAAGAAAAUGACGGUACCUGAAGAAGAAGCCCCGGCUAACUACGUGCCAGCAGCCGCGGUAAUACGUAGGGGGCAAGCGUUAUCCGGAUUUACUGGGUGUAAAGGGGGCGCAGACGGCGAUGCAAGCCAGGAGUGAAAAUCCGGGGCCCAACCCCGGAAUUGCAUUGGAAACUGCAUAUCUAGAGUGUCGGAGAGGCAAGUGGAAUUCCUGGUGUAGCGGUGAAAUGCGUAGAUAUCAGGAGGAACACCAGUGGCGAAGGCGGCUUGCUGGACGAUGACUGACGUUGAGGCUCGAAAGCGUGGGGAGCAAACAGGAUUAGAUACCCGCGUAUC